UCUUCUCAUUUUUCUUAGUUUUUAGAAAUCAGCUACCCAGGAAAAAUGACUUUUACUCCCAUGAGCCGCCUUCUGAGGAUCCUCCCCCAGAGACCGGAGCGUCCGUGCGCCUCCAGCUCCAGUCCGGGGCUCAGCUCUGCAGGGUGUGCGGCUGUUUAGGCCCCAAGACGUGCGCGCGCUGUCGCCAGGCGCAUUACUGCAGUAAGGACCACCAGGCUGUGGACUGGAGGUGCGGGCAUAAGCAGGCGUGUAGACAGGCAGGUAAUGUGGACAGUACAGUUCCAGAUCACAACUUCCUUUUUCCAGAAUUUGAAA
Molecule: long non-coding RNA, 315 nt
Organism: Myotis lucifugus (little brown bat)
Lineage: Eukaryota; Metazoa; Chordata; Mammalia; Chiroptera; Vespertilionidae
Exons: 2
Source: RefSeq, a predicted model, not a curated record